AAAAGUCGACUGUCAGAUUCAGUUUUCCAGCCAACUUGUUGGUAGGAGAAUGCACUUUUGGCAGUUGAGCGUCACGAUCGAUUGCUCCGCAGACAAAGCUCACUGUGUUGAGGACCUUGCCUUCGGGCUAGGAAACCCACGCGGUGUUGCUGCCCAUGUCGGAGUAAUCGGGGACAUCCGUGCACGCCUGCUUUGUCCAGGGGAAGCUUGACGGUAUGACAGUUGAGUUCUAAUUGCAGAGCUUAGCGACCACCGUUCGAGUAGUACUUUGGCGAUUGCGGCACGCGAGAGUCUGUGGCGUCCUAGUCAGUCACCCGUCUGACCCGUCUUGAAACACGGACCAAGGAGUCUAACAUGUGCGCAAGUCACUGAGUGGUAAACUCAAAGGCGAAAUGAAAGUAAAGGCUGGUUCCGCCAGCUAAGGUGAGAUCCUGGGCUAGUCCUGGGCGCAUCACCGUCCCGUCCUAAGGGUAAUGUCCCUGGGGUGGAGAAAGAGCGCACAUGUUGGGACCCGAAAGAUGGUGAACUAUGCUUGAGCAGGAUGAAGCCAGAGGAAACUCU
Molecule: ribosomal RNA, 561 nt
Filed under: Enoploides sp. 3I11K2
Lineage: Eukaryota; Metazoa; Nematoda; Enoplea; Enoplida; Thoracostomopsidae
Description: eukaryotic LSU rRNA
Rfam family: Eukaryotic large subunit ribosomal RNA
Source: RNAcentral